This is a non-coding RNA of Firmicutes bacterium ASF500, 346 nucleotides long. The record is from Rfam. Lineage: Bacteria; Bacillati; Bacillota.
GGGGGCGUACCGGUUUCGACGGGGGCGGAGAAGCAGGAAUAGCGAGCGGAUGCGCCUAACAUCCUAAAAAUGGGCACUUAUAAAUUAAAGAACGAUAACGAUUACGUUCUCGCCGCUGCUUAAAGCGGCCGUCCUGCCCGGAAGGACCACGAGCCGGGUCUGGGCGUAGCCUUAGUGGUGCCCGUGUGUUCGGAAAGAGUUGACCGUUCCACGCAUUAUGACUCUACCAAGCUCAAUAGUGUGACGACCCACGCUUGAGUAAGGGAAUGUAAAUGAUCGUCUGCGCUCGGAGAGGUUCCUGUGGAAACGCUUUCGGACGGGGGUCCAACUCCCCCCGCCUCCACCA